GCCCACGUAGCUCAGUUGGUAGAGCACAUCCUUGGUAAGGAUGAGGUCACCGGUUCAAAUCCGGUCGUGGGCU
Molecule: transfer RNA, 73 nt
Filed under: Phycisphaerae bacterium
Lineage: Bacteria; Pseudomonadati; Planctomycetota; Phycisphaerae
Description: tRNA-Thr
Rfam family: tRNA
About the family: Transfer RNA (tRNA) molecules are approximately 80 nucleotides in length.
Source: RNAcentral